This 451-nucleotide ribosomal RNA is filed under the name uncultured bacterium. Its description in RNAcentral is "partial 16S ribosomal RNA". It matches the Rfam family "Bacterial small subunit ribosomal RNA", at positions 354 to 797 of the family's 1533-position model. The record is from RNAcentral.
GUGGGGAAUCUUCCGCAAUGGACGAAAGUCUGACGGAGCAACGCCACGUGAGUGAUGAAGGUCUUCGGAUUGUAAAGCUCUGUUAAUCGGGACGAAAGAGCCUAGUGUGAAUAAUGCUAGGAAGUGACGGUACCGGAAUAGAAAGCCACGGCUAACUACGUGCCAGCAGCCGCGGUAAUACGUAGGUGGCAAGCGUUGUCCGGAAUUAUUGGGCGUAAAGCGCGCGCAGGCGGAUCUGCCAGUCUGUCUUAAAAGUGCGGGGCUUAACCCCGUGAUGGGAUGGAAACUACAGAUCUAGAGUAUCGGAGAGGAAAGUGGAAUUCCGAGUGUAGCGGUGAAAUGCGUAGAUAUUAGGAAGAACACCAGUGGCGAAGGCGACUUUCUGGACGAAAACUGACGCUGAGGCGCGAAAGCCAGGGGAGCGAACGGGAUUAGAAACCCGAGUAGUCCC